RNAcentral lists this transfer RNA (73 nucleotides) under Cavia porcellus (domestic guinea pig). It matches the Rfam family "tRNA". From Rfam's summary of the family: Transfer RNA (tRNA) molecules are approximately 80 nucleotides in length. Their secondary structure includes four short double-helical elements and three loops (D, anti-codon, and T loops). Further hydrogen bonds mediate the characteristic L-shaped molecular structure. tRNAs have two regions of fundamental functional importance: the anti-codon, which is responsible for specific mRNA codon recognition, and the 3' end, to which the tRNAs corresponding amino acid is attached (by aminoacyl-tRNA synthetases). tRNAs cope with the degeneracy of the genetic code in two manners: having more than one tRNA (with a specific anti-codon) for a particular amino acid; and 'wobble' base-pairing, i.e. permitting non-standard base-pairing at the 3rd anti-codon position. Lineage: Eukaryota; Metazoa; Chordata; Mammalia; Rodentia; Caviidae. The record is from Rfam by way of RNAcentral.
GGGGAUUUAGCUCAGUGGCAUAAGUGCCUGCCUGGCAAGCACGAGGUCAUGAGUUCGAUCCUCAGUACUGCCA